GGUGGGGUCAUAUAAAUAGCAGUCAUUUUGUCCCCUUACCUCAGCCAUCUUAAAAAUAAGAUGGCCCUUUGUUGUUGAUUGUUAUCUUAUUGCGUAUCACUAAUUUUCUUUCUUGUCACAGCCUGCCGGGAAUGGUCCUUGCCGAACCAGUUGGGAAACGGAGUACACUGGAAGAAGGAAUGUUGGGUCUGGUCCCUCCCCUAACCUCGGAAAAUGUUUUGGUAAUUGGGCGUGCCCUUAGUGCCAGGAAAAGGCGGCCAGGGGUUGGCAUGGGGAAUUGGAAGGCCAAGGCCAGUUAUCUUGGACGAGGGGG
Pelobates cultripes (western spadefoot toad) is the source of this 313-nucleotide non-coding RNA. The record is from the annotation of a GenBank genome assembly. Lineage: Eukaryota; Metazoa; Chordata; Amphibia; Anura; Pelobatidae.